RNAcentral lists this small RNA (79 nucleotides) under uncultured Paenibacillus sp. RNAcentral describes it as "BsrC". It matches the Rfam family "BsrC", at positions 6 to 83 of the family's 87-position model. From Rfam's summary of the family: The 301 nucleotide sequence from Kouji Nakamura has been trimmed to a highly conserved ~85 nucleotide long core to form this family. The record is from RNAcentral. Lineage: Bacteria; Bacillati; Bacillota; Bacilli; Caryophanales; Paenibacillaceae.
CUAAAACAACAAAAGCCCUGCCUCUCUUUCGUCCUUGCGGCUCCGAAGACCGCUCCAGCGUGAAUCAGAAAAUUUCAAA